Diospyros lotus (date-plum) is the source of this 1282-nucleotide RNA transcript. It is a transcript of the gene named vacuolar protein sorting-associated protein 60.2-like, with no coding region annotated. The transcript is spliced from 9 exons. Lineage: Eukaryota; Viridiplantae; Streptophyta; Magnoliopsida; Ericales; Ebenaceae. The record is from RefSeq and is a predicted model, not a curated record.
AAUAAGGAGCCCCGUGACGGUGGAGCUUCCACUAAAGGAUUCACGAGCUCCCAGGAACGAAGCGCUCCAACUGCGAUUCUGACUGUCGGCAGCUCCAAGAAGAAAACCUAAUCGCAUAACGAAGGAGGAAGAGGAGGAGGAAGAAGAAGAAAGAGGGGAAAAUGCAGAGAAUAUUCGGCGUUAAGAAGAACAAUGACCCUCCUUCCAUUUCAGAUGCCAACGAUCGGAUUGGCAAAAGAGGUGAAACAGUUGAUGAGAAGAUUAAAAAACUAGAUUCUGAGCUUGCUAGAUACAAAGAACAGAUCAAGAAAACCCGACCUGGUCCUGCUCAAGAAGCUAUCAAAGCCCGAGCCAUGAGGGUUCUCAAGCAGAAGAGGAUCUAUGAAGGACAACGUGAUAUGCUCUACAAUCAGACAUUCAAUCUAGACCAAGUUGCAUUUGCCACUGAUAAUGCUCGGCAAACACUCCCCAAGGUGCAUGGUUCAAGGAAUUUCAGCUGGAGCAUAUUCUCUACCUGCUUGCCUACCUCAUAAGAGCUAGGGGAGAUACCCAUUUGUCACUAGCGGUUGAUUUCUGUUAUGUCAGCUUUAAAAUCAGCAAACAAGGAGCUUAAAGGAAUGAUGAAAACCGUCAAGAUUCAAGACAUAGAUAGCUUACGAGAUGAAAUGAUGGACCUGAUGGACAUCAGCAAUGAAAUUCAAGAGUCCCUUGGUAGAAGCUAUAAUGAACUCAUGGGUGAGCUGGAUGCUUUGGAAGCUGACAUGGGAACGGAGACCGAAGGUGAUAGGGUGCCUGCUAAUCUUCAACCUGAUCUGGAAUUGGAACUUAACUUCCCUUCAGCAACACUAGCGCAUGCAGCAGUACCGUCUGGCAGUGUCAACACCCAGGAAGAGGAUGAAUGGGCUUUACCUGCUGGGAAGGGUCGGAUUUGGGUGAGCCAUUGUGAACAUGAUGGUGUAGAACACGUCUUGCAACGGGUGUGGGAGGUUUGUAAAUUCUUUUUAAAUGGCAAGUGCCCAUGUCAUGUGGACCUUGUAUGAGAGAAAUGGAGAGCAAACAAUGACAAAAAGAAAAGAAAAAGCAGACCCACCCUGUUAAUAGUUGUUGUAUCAGUGGGAAAAUACAUGAGAUGGGAAACUGGCUGACAAGGGGCUAAGCCAUGUUCUCCAAGGGGUUCCUAAAGGCUAGAAUCCAUCCAUCCAUCCCAUUCUAUACCCUAAUAUGGCUCAAACAUCUAGUCAUUGAAAGGGAAACAGCAAAGCCAUUUCCUUUCCAUUUUGAU